AUACGGAGGGGGCUAGCGUUGUUCGGAAUUACUGGGCGUAAAGCGCGCGUAGGCGGUUGUUCAAGUUGGGCGUGAAAGCCCGGGGCUUAACCCCGGAAUUGCGUUCAAAACUGGACAGCUAGAGUCCGGAAGAGGAGAGUGGAAUUCCCAGUGUAGAGGUGAAAUUCGUAGAUAUUGGGAAGAACACCAGUGGCGAAGGCGGCUCUCUGGUCCGGUACUGACGCUAAGGUGCGAAAGCGUGGGGAGCAAACAGGAUUAGAUACCCCGGUAGUCC
Molecule: ribosomal RNA, 274 nt
Filed under: uncultured bacterium
Lineage: Bacteria
Description: partial 16S ribosomal RNA
Rfam family: Bacterial small subunit ribosomal RNA
Source: RNAcentral